GGAUGUGAAGGCAAUCUGGCUGUGACAUCUGUCACCCCAUUUAUUGCCAGGGUUGAUUUGGCUGAUCUGGAUGGUUAGGCUAGUGCCCCCUCUUCCCUCACUACUCCAAUGUGCUUCCCUCCUGAAGAGGCGUGCUCAGGUCGAAGGGGAUGACCUGUCCGGAAUAGAGGAGGACCAGUCAUUGGUCAAGGGUAUACAAGUAGUUGCACUCCCCUGCUAGACUCUACAAACAAGCUCUCAAGGUCCAAGUGUGACUGAAUGCAAUAGGUUCACACCCUGGUGAGUACAAAGCCCAACCA
This is an unclassified non-coding RNA of Mesocricetus auratus (golden hamster), 299 nucleotides long. Its record names the gene 7SK. It matches the Rfam family "7SK RNA". From Rfam's summary of the family: 7SK was discovered as an abundant small nuclear RNA in the mid-70s but a possible function has only recently been suggested. NCBI's taxonomy places the organism in Eukaryota, Metazoa, Chordata, Mammalia, Rodentia, Cricetidae. The record is from Ensembl.